RNAcentral lists this ribosomal RNA (480 nucleotides) under uncultured bacterium. RNAcentral describes it as "bacterial SSU rRNA". It matches the Rfam family "Bacterial small subunit ribosomal RNA", at positions 28 to 507 of the family's 1533-position model. The record is from RNAcentral.
GACGAACGCUGGCGGCAUGUCUAACCUAUGCAAGUCGAACGGUGACAGAAGAAGGACUUUGGUCCGGGCGCUGUCGUAGUGGCGGACGGGUGAGUAACGCGUGAGGAACCAACCUGAUACAGGGGGAUAACACUGGGAAACCAGUGCUAAUACCGCAUGAGACCACAGUAUCGCAUGGUACAGGGGUCAAAGGAGCAAUCCGGUAUCAGACGGACUCGCGUCCCAUUAGGUAGUAGGCGGGGUAACGGCCCACCUAGCCAGCGAUGGGUAGCCGAGCUGAGAGGCUGAUCGGCCACACUGGGACUGAGAUACGGCCCAGACUCCUACGGGAGGCAGCAAGGAAGAAUAUUGGUCAAUGGGGGGAACCCUGAACCAGCAAUGCCGCGUGAAGGAAGAAGGCCUUCGGGUUGUAAACGUUACUGUGACGGGGACGGAAGAAAGUGACGGUACCCGGACGAGGAAGCCCGGCGAAACUACGUG